CCUACGGGGGCAGCAGUGGGGGAUAUUGCACAAUGGGGGAAACCCUGAUGCAGCAACGCCGCGUGUGGGAAGAAGGUUUUCGGAUUGUAAAACACCGUUUCUGGUGAAGAUAAUGAAGGUAAACAAGGAGAAAGCUUCGGCUAACGACGUGACAGGAGCCGGGGGAAUAAGUAGGGAGCAAGCGUUGUCCGGAUUUACUGGGUGUAAAGGGGGCGUAGGCGGUCUUGGAAGGCAGACGUGAAAACCACAGGCUCAACCUGUGGACUGCGUUUGAAACUGUGGGGCUUGAGUGAAGUAGAGGUAGGCGGAAUUCCCGGUGUAGCGGUGAAAUGCGUAGAGAUCGGGAGGAACACCAGUGGCGAAGGCGGCCUACUGGGCUUUAACUGACGCUGAGGUACGAAAGCAUGGGUAGCAAACAGGAUUAGAUACCCCAGUAGUC
RNAcentral lists this ribosomal RNA (439 nucleotides) under uncultured bacterium. RNAcentral's name for it is "partial 16S ribosomal RNA". It matches the Rfam family "Bacterial small subunit ribosomal RNA", at positions 338 to 795 of the family's 1533-position model. The record is from RNAcentral.